Molecule: ribosomal RNA, 307 nt
Filed under: Boophis elenae
Lineage: Eukaryota; Metazoa; Chordata; Amphibia; Anura; Mantellidae
Description: partial 16S ribosomal RNA
Rfam family: Bacterial large subunit ribosomal RNA
Source: RNAcentral
UAUUUUCAUCCUCACAUAAGUUAGGUUAUGCCUGUUUGGUUUUAGGUUGGGGUGACCACGGAGUAUAAAACAACCUCCAUGAAAAAAGGACCAAAAAUCCUUAUUAGAGAAAGACAUUUCUAAAAUUAAUAAAUUAAUUUUUAAUGAUCCGAUAUUCGAUCAACGAACCAAGUUACCCUGGGGAUAACAGCGCAAUCCACUUCAAGAGCUCCUAUCGACAAGUGGGUUUACGACCUCGAUGUUGGAUCAGGGUAUCCUAGUGGUGCAGCAGCUACUAACGGUUCGUUUGUUCAACGAUUAAAACCCU